UACAGAGGUCCCAAGCGUUGUUCGGAUUCACUGGGCGUAAAGGGUGCGUAGGCGGUCGGGUAAGUCUGGCGUGAAAUCUCCAAGCCUAACUUGGAAACUGCGUUGGAUACUAUCCGGCUCGAGGAAUGGAGGGGAGACUGGAAUACUUGGUGUAGCAGUGAAAUGCGUAGAUAUCAAGUGGAACACCAGUGGCGAAGGCGAGUCUCUGGGCAGUAACUGACGCUGAGGAGCGAAAGCGUGGGGAGCGAACAGG
RNAcentral lists this ribosomal RNA (253 nucleotides) under uncultured bacterium. RNAcentral describes it as "partial 16S ribosomal RNA". It matches the Rfam family "Bacterial small subunit ribosomal RNA", at positions 524 to 776 of the family's 1533-position model. The record is from RNAcentral.